This 955-nucleotide unclassified non-coding RNA is filed under the name Zea mays. RNAcentral describes it as "misc RNA Zm00001eb190170". Lineage: Eukaryota; Viridiplantae; Streptophyta; Magnoliopsida; Poales; Poaceae. The record is from RNAcentral.
GAAGAACGUACCACACAAACCAGGCCGUGCCUCUCCCCCAUACCAGCAACCAUGCAUGCAUGGACGCGGGCGAACUUGAAUUGACCCAAGAAACCAAAGAAAACAAGAGAGGCAACUGGACACGCAAACGCAAGAGCAGAGAUACGAUCACCAGUAACAACACAGUUCUAACCAUCCUACCGCCCAGUGUACUCACUGCUACCUGCAGGAAGAGCAUGCAUCACAUCCAGACUUGUUCAUCAAAGCCAUCGCCUGCGUAAUGGUCGAAAAGAUCGACGCCGCUUAUGUCGGCGGCGUCGUCAUCGCCGCAGCCCGAAAGGAUGCCCGCCCAGUCCAUGUCCAUGAUGCCGUCCACUUCGAGGAAGAGGUCGAUGGGGCCGGGCCAGGCGGCCGCGUCCGCGUCCGCGUCCGCGCCGGAGGCCGAGGAGGAGCAGGACGGCGAGACGGAUCCAGCCGCUGCGGAAGCAGGGGAGGUGGUCGUCGCGCCGUGCGGCUGGGCGGCGCUCGCCGGCGUCUCCUCCACGUCGUCGUCCUCGUCGGCGACCGCCGCCAGCCCUUGCGACGAUGCCUGCUUGCUGGGGUCGUCGUCGCAACGUUCCUCUUCUCGCACCACCUGCGGAGGAUCGCGCUGCUGCGCCAGCGCCAGCGCCAGAGGUUGAGUGGCCGGAGCGAGCGGCCCGUGGGUGACGGGGUCGAUGCCCAUCUUCUUGAGCUUCUUCUUGAUGUGGGUGUUCCAGUGGUUCUUGAUCUCGUUGUCCGUCCUCCCCGGCAGCCGCGCCGCGAUCUUGGACCACCGGUUGCCGAGCUGCGCGUGGAGGUCGAUGACCAGCGCCUCUUCCUCCUCCGAGAGGAGGCCGCGCUUGAGGUCCGGCCUCAGGUAGUUGGUCCACCGCAGCCGGCAGCUCUUCCCGCACCUCAGCAGCCCUGCGGGGACCAAGAAACUAAUGUGAGGAAA